RNAcentral lists this unclassified non-coding RNA (24 nucleotides) under Mus musculus (house mouse). Its description in RNAcentral is "oocyte_clustered_small_RNA12420". Lineage: Eukaryota; Metazoa; Chordata; Mammalia; Rodentia; Muridae. The record is from RNAcentral.
UGAAGGCAGGAAGACAAUGUUCAA